Long non-coding RNA from Ictidomys tridecemlineatus (thirteen-lined ground squirrel), 723 nucleotides. RefSeq lists it as uncharacterized. The record is from RefSeq and is a predicted model, not a curated record. NCBI's taxonomy places the organism in Eukaryota, Metazoa, Chordata, Mammalia, Rodentia, Sciuridae.
UGAGCCUGAGGCUGGUCUGGCUUAUUUUGAUCCAAGCGGCUUGAUUUCAUUUCCUGUUUCUGAACAAAUCUGCGCGGCCGGACGCCCACGUCUCUGGAGGCGAGGUGGCCCCUCACGCUCUAGUGGUCCGGGCCGACCUCUGCAGUUCCAGCGGGCACCGUGCUGCAGAGGGCUCUCAGCUCCUGCUCCCGCCGCGCUCCCCUCGCCUCUGGGCUUUGUCUUGCCAGUUAAAACCCUGAAUGGAACAAGACAUCCCUCCUACAAGGGAGACGGAAUUCUUGCUUGAUGGCUUCUGAACUGGGAUCCAGUAUUGGCUUUUGUCCACCAGACUUCAGACUGGGGUCUUGGCCUUCCAACUGGGACCAGAACUACAUCAUCAACCCUGGUGGCUCUCCAGCUUCCUGACUCAGCCUUCUGAUGUAGGACUUGUCAGUCUUCAUGAUCUCAUGAGCCAGUGCCUUAUAAUAAAUACAUUAUCUUGGUUGUUUCUCUAGCGAAUCUAAUAUAAAUAUUUAUUAAGAUAUCUGAUCAUAGAAUUGUCCUCACUUCCUGAUAGCAUCUAAACCAGAACAAAAGCAUACUUUCACAAGUCACCGUAUACAAACCCAAAUCUUAUUUCAAGCCUUGUCAACAGCCUCUGCCUGAGAUAAAUAUGGCCUUCCUUCCUGUAACAAGCCAGAACCCCAGUUUGUUCAAUUACAGAUGUGUUCCUGUUAGUCUUUA